This 340-nucleotide ribosomal RNA is filed under the name uncultured bacterium. RNAcentral's name for it is "bacterial SSU rRNA". It matches the Rfam family "Bacterial small subunit ribosomal RNA", at positions 32 to 361 of the family's 1533-position model. The record is from RNAcentral.
AAUCAACGCUGGCGGCGUGCCUCAGACAUGCAAGUCGAACGAUUAAAGCUCUCUUCGGAGAGUGCAUAAAGUGGCGCACGGGUGAGUAACACGUAAGUAAUCUACCUUCGAGUGGGGAAUAACGUCCGGAAACGGACGCUAAUACCGCAUAACGCAGCGGCAUCGCAAGAUGACAGUUAGUUAAAGUAUUUAUCGCUUGAAGAGGAGCUUGCGGCAGUAUAGCUUGUUGGUAAGGUAACGGCUUACCAAGGCUACGAUCUGUAUCCGGUCUAAGAGGACGGUCGGACACACUGACACUGAAUAACGGGUCAGACUCCUACGGGAGGCAGCAGGUCGGGAA